AUGCCUUUCUCCUUCUUUUUGGUGACGUCGGAUGCCCGCCUUUGGUGCUCAGAAGUGGAUUCUCCUUCAAAGAGGGCUUUCCCCAAGAAAGGGACAUGGUUGUAUUGGAUUUCUAGUCCUAUAGGGGAAGAGCAUAUAGGAUCACACCUACACAUAAGUUCGUUCGUUGGGUUAGUGGCCACCCGCACUCCAACCUAUCUAUAUGGCAACAAAGCGGAUGACAAGGCCAAAGUAGCUGACUCAUAUCGCUAA
RNAcentral lists this ribosomal RNA (252 nucleotides) under Triticum aestivum (bread wheat). RNAcentral describes it as "partial small subunit ribosomal RNA". The record is from RNAcentral. Lineage: Eukaryota; Viridiplantae; Streptophyta; Magnoliopsida; Poales; Poaceae.